Molecule: non-coding RNA, 22 nt
Filed under: Bacillus methanolicus MGA3
Lineage: Bacteria; Bacillati; Bacillota; Bacilli; Caryophanales; Bacillaceae
Source: RNAcentral
AGCUCCCGAAGUUCCUCAGUCA